This 422-nucleotide ribosomal RNA is filed under the name uncultured bacterium. RNAcentral's name for it is "bacterial SSU rRNA". It matches the Rfam family "Bacterial small subunit ribosomal RNA", at positions 30 to 467 of the family's 1533-position model. The record is from RNAcentral.
AUUGAACGCUGGCGGCAGGCUUAACACAUGCAAGUCGAGCGGAGACUUCGGUCUUAGCGGCGAACGGGUGAGUAAUACCUAGGAAUCUGCCUAUUAGUGGGGGAUAACGAAUCGAAAGGUUCGCUAAUACCGCAUACGUCCUACGGGAGAAAGGGGGGGAUCUUCGGACCUCUCGCUAAUAGAUGAGCCUAGGCCGGAUUAGCUAGUUGGUAGGGUAAAGGCCUACCAAGGCGACGAUCUGUAGCUGGUCUGAGAGGAUGGCCAGCCACACUGGAACUGAGACACGGUCCAGACUCCUACGGGAGGCAGCAGUGGGGAAUAUUGGACAAUGGGGGCAACCCUGAUCCAGCCAUGCCGCGUGUGUGAAGAAGGCCUCGGUUGUAAGACACUUAAGCGAGGAGGAAGGUUUUAGUUUAAGUUAA